GGGCGAAGCCUGACGGAGCACGCCGCGUGGGGGAAGAAGGUUUUUGGAUUGUAAACCCCUUUUCUCAAGGAAGAACAAAAUGACGGUACUUGAGGAAUCAGCCUCGGCUAACUCCGUGCCAGCAGCCGCGGUAAUACGGAGGAGGCAAGCGUUAUCCGGAAUUAUUGGGCGUAAAGCGUUCGUAGGCGGCUGUUCUAGUCUGCUGUCAAAGACCGAGGCUCAACCUCGGGUAGGCAGUGGAAACUGGAUAGCUAGAGGUCGGUAGGGGCAGAGGGAAUUCCCAGUGUAGCGGUGAAAUGCGUAGAUAUUGGGAAGAACACCGGUGGCGAAAGCGCUCUGCUGGGCCGAACCUGACGCUGAGGGACGAAAGCUAGGGGAGCGAAUGGGAUUAGAUACCCCAGUAGUC
Molecule: ribosomal RNA, 406 nt
Filed under: uncultured cyanobacterium
Lineage: Bacteria; Bacillati; Cyanobacteriota
Description: bacterial SSU rRNA
Rfam family: Bacterial small subunit ribosomal RNA
Source: RNAcentral